AAAAAUUAAAUUUUAAUAAUAUUAAAGUAGUAAUAGAUUAGUCUUGAAACUUAAAAAAUUUGGCGGUAAUUUAGUCUAUUCAGAGGAACUUGUUUAAUAAUUGAUAGUCCACAAUAUAUCUUACUUAAUUUUAUUUUAUUUUGUAUAUCGUUGUCUUUAGAAUAUUUUAAAAAAAUAAUAAUUUUCUUAUUUUUAGAUUUAAAAAUAUGUCAAAUCAAGGUGCAGAUUAUAGUUAAGAAUAAAUGAGUUACAAUAAUAGUUAAUUAUACAGUUUAUCUUUUGAAAUAAAUGAUAUUAAGGUGGAUUUGAUAGUAAAUUAGUUAAAGGUAAAUUUAUUGAGUUUAGCUCUAAAUUAUGC
Molecule: ribosomal RNA, 358 nt
Filed under: Dilophus femoratus
Lineage: Eukaryota; Metazoa; Arthropoda; Insecta; Diptera; Bibionidae
Description: 12S ribosomal RNA
Source: RNAcentral